This 253-nucleotide ribosomal RNA is filed under the name uncultured bacterium. Its description in RNAcentral is "partial 16S ribosomal RNA". It matches the Rfam family "Bacterial small subunit ribosomal RNA", at positions 524 to 776 of the family's 1533-position model. The record is from RNAcentral.
UACGUAGGGGGCAAGCGUUGUCCGGAUUUAUUGGGCGUAAAGAGCGUGUAGGCGGCCUGAAAGGUCAGCUGUGAAAACUCGAGGCUCAACCUCGAGACGUCGGUUGAAACCAUCUGGCUAGAGUCCGGAAGAGGAGUGUGGAAUUCCCGGUGUAGCGGUGAAAUGCGCAGAUAUCCGGAAGAACACCUGUGGCGAAAGCGGCUCACUGGACCAUAACUGACGCUGAUGCACGAAAGCUAGGGGAGCAAACAGG